RNAcentral lists this non-coding RNA (23 nucleotides) under Arabidopsis thaliana (thale cress). The record is from RNAcentral. Lineage: Eukaryota; Viridiplantae; Streptophyta; Magnoliopsida; Brassicales; Brassicaceae.
ACAGUCCUAGUUAUCACGAUCUA